AAAUCAUCAUAAUUAACAACCUUUCAACCAAAUGGAUCCCAAAGCACUUUCCAAAUUAUGCAACUUUGGAGGUGAAUUGCCUCAGCUGUCCAACAGCUGUCAGCAGCACUCUGCAACAGGGACUGAGCAAGAGGGAGGACGCAGAUUCUCCACGGAACUCUUCGCAGCAUUUAGUGCAGGCCCAGAUGAUUCAUGGUAAACUUUCCAGGAUAUUCUCUUAAUUCUGUGUUGUCCAACUAAGGAGUACAGGGGAUCUGCAAAGUUGUAAAAUCAAGGUGGUAAAGAUUCUUGGAGCUUCUAAUAUAUUCAAAAGUUUGAGCUAUGUGUCAGUCCCUGGGGAUCAAGUGAAGGAGGUACAGCUUCUUCAGUCACAGACUGUCUUGUCAUGUGGAUACAGGAAAGACCUAACAAGAAAAAGGCAUAGCCAAAAUGCAAAACCACCUACCUACACAGAGAACAACAGCAUAGUCUGAUCUGUUUCCACCAGCCAGCAAAAGUGAACCUGAAGUGAAUGACCCAUGAUUCAGGGCUGUGGUGUCUCCAUCUCUGCCUGCUGGACCACCCCUACCCCCACCCUCCAGAGCCUUGUAUGCACUGGCCAAAGAAUUGCCUCAGAAGGUUCUCCGAAGUGAACCUCUGGGAGUUGAGAGAAAGAGAUAAAUAACUUCUCAACCUGAUGUUUAAGCAACAAGAAACCACCAGAAAGUGUCGGCCUCAAUUCUGAAAAUAUUUUUUGAAACAUCAUAGAUUCAUGGGAGAAUGACAGAAUGACAUGAGAAUGACAGGAUUCUUAGUUCCUAACUUUUCUGUAAAAUCCCAGAUUUUCUUCUGUCUAUCGUCUAUGACCCAUUUUCUUUUGUGUGAUGAGAGCAAAAUAUUGAACCCUGAGUUUGUAUUUUCUGACCCCUGACCUCUCCCAGGUGUUCUGGCUCAUUUCCUGAGAGUUAUGUUUGAUUUGGGAAUGCUUCCCUCUUUUCUCCCAUUCCCCUGUUACCGCUUGAAACCUGGAACACCCGCAAACAAGACCCUGACUAUCUCCCUGUACUACCCAAAAACACUCUUAAGUGUUCUCUCAGAACUUGGCAAGCAUCUAUACAGGGACAGUUUUCUCACACUCUGGGAAAUCAAAAUAUAAAACAAUAGCUCUUUUCCAAUUCUUCAACCUGAAGAUAGAUUUUAGGGUCAUUUCUUUUUCCUUCCUAUUUAACAUGAGUUUCCGUUUUAGUACUAAGAGGAAAUCAAAUAAAUAAUCGACUUUGGUUUUCAAUGUAACAAGGAAAUAGAAAUUCUAAUUUGAUCCAAAAGUUAUUCCAAGAUCAUCUCCUCAGAAGUUGCAGUUAACAUUUUCCUAAAAAAUCUCUCCCUUUCCUUUUCUUUUUCAGAUUUCAGAAUAAAAGGCUGGAAAAUAUUACUUAUGAAGUUAAGCAUUAUUUUUGCUUUAAAUUGAAGCUGAAACCCUGCUUGACACCGCUACUCUGCUAAUCCUGGUUGUCUUUUAAAAAGAAAAUGCUUAGGAUACCUAAACAAUCUUGAUAAAAAGAUUUCUACAUCUUUUAAUUAAAUGAGAGGCCAAUCUACUAAGCUAACAAAAAGAACUACAUUCAGGAAUGCAACAGAUUCUGCCUACUCCAUUUGGCAUGAUUCCUUAAAAAUAAAUAACUACUUCAUGAGUUGUGCAAGUAAAAAUAAGAUAUUGUGUGCACUAAAAACAUUUCCUCAAGGAGCAUCCAGGCUGGGCUCAUGAAGCCCACUUGUCACCAGCAUCAAGCCGCCCAUCCAGGCACCAUCCAGGAGGGUGAGUCUUCUCUUCCUAGUCUAGGGCGGAGGGUCAUUCAUGCACUGGACUGGAGUUAAGAGGCUUGAACCUGAGCUGACAAUGAACAGGACUGGGAGAGGCUCAACUAUCCUGGGUUCAGAUGACAGUUUGUAGGUAUCAGAAUAAGUACAGGGGCAGCUGGUGCACAGACCCUGGAAAAUUCACUGACACACGGUGAAUAUAUAAAUAUCAUGUCUCAUUCUCUGUGGUGUAAAACCACACAAAUGCAACUUAGGCUUUAUAAAAUGCCCAGAUUACUAAGUAGCCAAAGAAAUAUAAGAAAAAAAUCUGUGAAUUGAUUCUGUGUGAAACCUGGCUCAUGAUAGUAAAACAGGCUUAGUGUGUUUGUGUUUUAUUUUUCCAAAUACAUAAUUUGAAAAUACACAUGGCUGUGCCCAUUUUUAAAUGACAUUUAUUCAAUCAUUCAUUCACC
RNAcentral lists this long non-coding RNA (2249 nucleotides) under Homo sapiens (human). RNAcentral's name for it is "HSALNT0376426". Lineage: Eukaryota; Metazoa; Chordata; Mammalia; Primates; Hominidae. The record is from RNAcentral.